RNAcentral lists this ribosomal RNA (1068 nucleotides) under uncultured Acidobacteriota bacterium. RNAcentral describes it as "bacterial SSU rRNA". It matches the Rfam family "Bacterial small subunit ribosomal RNA", at positions 337 to 1396 of the family's 1533-position model. Lineage: Bacteria; Pseudomonadati; Acidobacteriota. The record is from RNAcentral.
UCCUACGGGAGGCAGCAGUGGGGAAUUGUUCGCAAUGGGCGCAAGCCUGACGACGCAACGCCGCGUGGAGGACGAAGAUUUUCGGAUCGUAAACUCCUGUCGAAUGGGACGAAAAGGUUGCGGGUUAACAGCCUGUAAUCCUGACGGUACCGUUAAAGGAAACCCCGGCUAACUCCGUGCCAGCAGCCGCGGUAAUACGGGGGGGGUAAGCGUUGUUCGGAAUUACUGGGCGUAAAGGGCUCGUAGGCGGCCAACUAAGUCGGACGUGAAAUCCCUCAGCUUAACUGGGGAACUGCGUCCGAUACUGGAUGGCUUGGAUUUGGGAGAGGGAUGCGGAAUUCCAGGUGUAGCGGUGAAAUGCGUAGAUAUCUGGAGGAACACCGGUGGCGAAGGCGGCAUCCUGGACCAAUAUUGACGCUGAGGAGCGAAAGCUAGGGGAGCAAACGGGAUUAGAUACCCCGGUAGUCCUAGCCCUAAACGAUGAAUGCUUGGUGUAGCGGGUAUCGAUCCCUGCUGUGCCGAAGCUAACGCAUUAAGCAUUCCGCCUGGGGAGUACGGUCGCAAGGCUGAAACUCAAAGGAAUUGACGGGGGCCCGCACAAGCGGUGGAGCAUGUGGUUCAAUUCGACGCAACGCGAAGAACCUUACCCAGGCUUGAACUGCGAGUGACCACGCCCGAAAGGGCGCUUCCGCAAGGACACUCGUAGAGGUGCUGCAUGGCUGUCGUCAGCUCGUGUCGUGAGAUGUUGGGUUAAGUCCCGCAACGAGCGCAACCCUCGUUCUAUGUUGCCAGCACGUGAUGGUGGGGACUCAUAGGAGACUGCCGGGGUCAACUCGGAGGAAGGUGGGGAUGACGUCAAAUCAUCAUGCCCCUUAUGUCUUGGGCUUCACGCAUGCUACAAUGGCCAGUACAAAGGGCUGCGAUACCGCGAGGUGGAGCGAAUCCCAAAAAACUGGUCUCAGUUCGGAUUGGGGUCUGCAACUCGACCCCAUGAAGUCGGAGUCGCUAGUAAUCGCAGAUCAGCAACGCUGCGGUGAAUACGUUCCCGGGCCUUGUACACACCGCCAU